Molecule: ribosomal RNA, 636 nt
Filed under: uncultured bacterium
Lineage: Bacteria
Description: bacterial SSU rRNA
Rfam family: Bacterial small subunit ribosomal RNA
Source: RNAcentral
GAAAUUCUAGCCACGNNCGAGUUUANGCUAUUCAACAUGGGCUCGUGUUGGUUUUNUAGAUCUAACACUGGCCGGCGUUCGUUUUACAUGCCUUACACAUGCAAGUCGAACGGCAGCACGGACUUCGGUCUGGUGGCGAGUGGCGAACGGGUGAGUAAUGUAUCGGAACGUGCCCAGUAGCGGGGGAUAACUACGCGAAAGCGUAGCUAAUACCAGCAUACAGCCCUACAGUGAGGAGAAAAGCAAGAGGAGAUCAGCAAGACCUUGCACUAUUGAGAAGCNGAGCCUGAUAUCGGAUUAGCUAGUUUGGUAGAGGAGUAACGAGCUCACCAAGGCGACAGAUCCAGUAGCUAGGUUUGAAGAGGACAGACCAGCUCACACUGGGACUUGAGACACGUGCNCCAGACUCCUACGGGAAAGCAGCAAGUGGGGAAUUUUUGGACAAUGGGGUGAAACCCUGAUCCAGCCAUCCCUGCGUGUGCGAUGAAUGGGCCUUCGGGUUGUAAGGCACUUUUGGCAGGAAAGAAACGUCAUGGGUUAAUACCCCGUGAAACUGACGGUACCUGCAGAGUAAGCACCGGCUAACUACGUGCCAGCAGCCGCGGUAAUACGUAGGGUGCAAGCGUUAAUCGGAAU